Long non-coding RNA from Leopardus geoffroyi (Geoffroy's cat), 346 nucleotides. RefSeq lists it as uncharacterized. The transcript is spliced from 3 exons. NCBI's taxonomy places the organism in Eukaryota, Metazoa, Chordata, Mammalia, Carnivora, Felidae. The record is from RefSeq and is a predicted model, not a curated record.
AAAAAGUAACAGCUAAUGUGGGAAGGCCAACACACCCUACACAACUAAUAAACAAAAACUAAGAGAAUGAGGAAACCGAGGCUCAGAGAUGCAAAACAACGUGCCUAAAACCAAACAACUGGUCCAACAGAGAUUACCCACUACUCAGAGCUUGCUCCUCAACUCCUGAGCGGGGGACAUUUUGGCAGCAUGCCAAAAGAUCUUUGUCUCUCUUGACCUUCUCACCUGGGAAGCCAUCACUGACCAGAGAAUCCAAGUUGUUACAGUGAUCGGGAACCACCAAGGUGGUUUGACCACCUGUCAAAACUCCUGAAAUUGGCCAUGAGAUUAUUGAAGCUGAGUGGUG